UUAAGGUAUUCAAAAUGACCUUCGGGUGUC
This 30-nucleotide small RNA is filed under the name Bombyx mori (domestic silkworm). Its description in RNAcentral is "ovarian small RNA-36371". The record is from RNAcentral. Lineage: Eukaryota; Metazoa; Arthropoda; Insecta; Lepidoptera; Bombycidae.